Molecule: long non-coding RNA, 1267 nt
Filed under: Daucus carota (carrot)
Lineage: Eukaryota; Viridiplantae; Streptophyta; Magnoliopsida; Apiales; Apiaceae
Description: long non-coding RNA (DCAR_LNC005849)
Source: RNAcentral
UGAGGAUAUCAUCAACUUGCAUUCCAUUUAAAUAUAAACUUUGCUCGACAAGGCGAUAUUAUAUAAGACUGACCGGACGCCAAAUUCCCCUCAUGAGUCAUAUUCAGUGCUGAGGAUAAUCUAAACAGCAACUUGGCAGGUUGACAUUUACGAUCACACCUGGCACUUGAGUUAAAAAUAUCACAACGAUAUAAACAAUCACCGCAAGACUACACCAAGAAGGGAAAUAGCUGCUAAGUUGACAUAUUUAUUUUAUUUUAAUUAUUUGAUAAUACAUCCAUAUGCAUAAGUCAGGUGAUCAUAAUUUUGUUAAAGACCUGCUAACUUAAACUUCAAUCUGUGUUAUAAAUUUAUAAUAGUAUGAGUUUCUGAAACAGAGCAUAAGCAUGAAUUAGUUCAAAUUCUUAUUGGCAUGAAAGCUAGUAUAAGUUAAGAAUCACUCCAAAGUCUGAAAACCUAAGCUCAGAGUUCGAGAAGCCUUAACCAAGUAAUAUAGCCUGAGACUAGAAGCAAGUUAGUUCUCCAUGUCUUUUUGCGCUGUUGGAAGAAAAUAAUCUGGUUUAUAAAUAGUAAUUUCAGUAAAUGCAGCAAAAAAAAAACGCAAAUGAACAUAAGGAACAUAUGUAGGACGAUACAUUGACAAUGUCAAGUAACAUCCUGACACAAUGCCUAGACCUUUCUGCUACAAUGCAGCUGAAUUCAUGUGUUAUAUGAUGUCUAUUCGAGUCUGUCUGUACAAGCACGAGACUCCUUAACUCCUAAAAGUUUGUAAGAGUUUUUUACUUUAAUGGAACUUUACAUUAUUAAAUAUGUUCCUUUACUGAAAAUAACUAAUCCUUAGAAAAAGACUAUCCACGCCAUCCCCAAUGUUAAACCAGAUUAACAAUUCUAUUUGGUGGCUGAUUUUCUUAAGGUUUGUCUACAAGGCAGGCCGUGAUCCUACCUAAGUAUUCUGUUUUGCCAUCUGUCAAUUGUCAUCAAGUAUAAGUCAACUAAGAUAUAAAAUACAAGCAAUCUGAGUGUGAAGAUCAGAAUGUCAACCUCCAAACAAAUCCUGAUGUAACGAGCUAGUGAUCACAUAGAGAUGCUCAACCGGACCAGAUAGUUUACAUGAAUUCCUUUCCGACAUUAACAUAGUUGCAGUCUAAAAUCCAUAUCGACAAGCAUAUAAAUCCCAAAUCAGAACCACAGACAAAGCAAGCAAAUUGGUUGCUUUCAUAUAAUGUAUGAGCUUGAUUCUCAAGACUGCUCCCUAGUUUACUUAAAC